Molecule: long non-coding RNA, 929 nt
Organism: Danio aesculapii
Lineage: Eukaryota; Metazoa; Chordata; Actinopteri; Cypriniformes; Danionidae
Exons: 6
Source: RefSeq, a predicted model, not a curated record
UGAGUCACACGUUCGGCCAGAUAGUGCACGGAUAUACUUCUCAUUUACUUCCAUCCGAAGCACGGUGACGGGUCUCUAAGCAGCCUGACACAGGAGAGAGAGAGAGCGGCUGGAGGCAGUUUAAGGGAGGGGGGCAGCAGCAGUCGAUGCUGGUGACGCAGGAAAAACCCAAGAGCAGACAAUAAACCAAUGGUCUGAUCUCAUCCUAGGCCUGUUAUUUUUAAUCGGGACAGCCAAGCACAUGCACGCGACUGCCUAAUUAUUAAACAGCACUUAAAUGAUCCGAUCUGGGGUCGUAUGGAGGAAAGAUCCAGUUUGAUUCUCGGUUAUGCAAUGGUCUCUGCAACAUAUCCAGUCCCCCAGGUGGUGCUUUCACUUUCAGAAGUGUGCCGGUUCUCCGUCGCUCCUGAGGAGAAACUGAUUUCUUCUGGUGUGCCAGCAACAUAAGCAGACAAGAUUGCAAAGAUCUGCCCCGUGUCGAGUAUGACGGCCACGACCCGUGGCUCCCCGGUGGGAGGGAAUGACGGUCAGGGCCAGGCUCCGGAUGGCCAGUCCCAGCCACCCCUGCCCCAGAACCAGACAUCCUCUCCUAACUCAUCCAACGAGAACUCUCCAGUGAGCCCGCCAGAUGACCAGGGUCAAGGGGACUCUCCCACUCCUCUGGAGGAGGAGGAGCCUGCUUUCCCCCACACUGAAUGGCCAAGCUGGAUGACAUGAUCAACAGACCUCGCUGGGUCGUUCCAGUUUUGCCAAAGGGUGAAACUAGAAGUUCUUCUUGAAGCUGCUAUAGAUCUUUGUAAAAAAGGAAUUGAUGUCAAGUGUGAAGCAUGCCAGAGGUUUUUCAGAGAUGGCUUGACAAUAUCCUUUACAAAAAUACUGACAGAUGAGGCUGUUAGUGGAUGGAAAUUUGAAAUCCAUCGGUGCAUCAU